GAAAAUUGUCGCAAAAGUCAACCAAAAAAUUUGAAAAUCAGUCCAAAUUUUAAAAUUUUUUGGGCGACUUUUGCGUCAAUUUUC
Molecule: microRNA precursor, 84 nt
Filed under: Olea europaea subsp. europaea
Lineage: Eukaryota; Viridiplantae; Streptophyta; Magnoliopsida; Lamiales; Oleaceae
Source: RNAcentral